AUACGUAGGGAGCGAGCGUUGUCCGGAAUUACUGGGCGUAAAGGGCGCGUAGGCGGCGCUUCAAGUCGUCUGUCAAAUGGGAGGGCUUAACCCUUUUUCGCAGACGAAACUGGAGAGCUUGAGAAGCAGAGAGGCAAACAGAAUUCCUGGUGUAGCGGUGAAAUGCGUAGAUAUCAGGAAGAACACCAGUGGCGAAGGCGGUUUGCUGGCUGCAUACUGACGCUGAAGCGCGAAAGCCAGGGGAGCAAACGGGAUUAGAUACCCCGGUAGUCCUGGCAGUAAACGAUGUAUGCUGGGUGUGAGACUAGCGAUAGUUUCGUGCCGAAGUUAACGCGAUAAGCAUACCGCCUGGGGAGUACGGUCGCAAGAUUGAAACUCAAAUGAAUUGACGGGG
This 394-nucleotide ribosomal RNA is filed under the name uncultured bacterium. RNAcentral's name for it is "partial 16S ribosomal RNA". It matches the Rfam family "Bacterial small subunit ribosomal RNA", at positions 523 to 918 of the family's 1533-position model. The record is from RNAcentral.